GCAAGUCGAGCGAGAAAGCCUUCGGGUGAGUACAGCGGCGGACGGGUGAGUAACGCGUAGGAAUCUACCUGGUAGUGGGGGACAACAUGGGGAAACCCAUGCUAAUACCGCAUACGCCCCAAGGGGGAAAGCGGGGGACCUUCGGGCCUCGCGCUAUUGGAUGAGCCUGCGUCGGAUUAGCUAGUUGGUGGGGUAAAGGCUCACCAAGGCGACGAUCCUUAGCUGGUCUGAGAGGAUGAUC
RNAcentral lists this ribosomal RNA (241 nucleotides) under uncultured bacterium. Its description in RNAcentral is "partial 16S ribosomal RNA". It matches the Rfam family "Bacterial small subunit ribosomal RNA", at positions 57 to 305 of the family's 1533-position model. The record is from RNAcentral.